AUGUUCACUUGGCUCGCCGACCUUGACCGAUGCUGGACCUCCGCUAGACUCGCUCGGCAUGGUCUGCCGCACAAUGAUCGUUGUGCCCUGUGCGACCAGGCUGAAGAGACCAUGCAACACAUCAUCAUCGGCUGCCCUUUCUCUCGGCAGAUUUGGCAUGACGUACUCGCCUGGGUUCGUGCUACUACCCCACCCCCCUCUGGAGAUGAAGCCUUCCUUCGCUGGUGCUCGGCCACAAUCAAGGGAUCCCCCACCGGCCACCGCAAAGGCCUCGCUACGUUGGCUGUGCUCACGGCAUGGUCCAUUUGGCGACACCGCAACAGUUGCGUCUUCGACGGCGAGAACCCCUCCUCCUCGCGACUUGUUGCUUCGAUCCAGGAGGAGGCCCGCGCCUGGGCUAGAGCAGGCGCACGCGGACUAGGCGCUCUAUUAGCAUAG
RNAcentral lists this ribosomal RNA (438 nucleotides) under Triticum aestivum (bread wheat). RNAcentral describes it as "partial small subunit ribosomal RNA". Lineage: Eukaryota; Viridiplantae; Streptophyta; Magnoliopsida; Poales; Poaceae. The record is from RNAcentral.